GUGGCCGUAGCUCAGCUGGUAGAGCGCUGGAUUGUGGAUCCGGUUGUCGCGGGUUCGAACCCCGUCGGUCACCCCA
RNAcentral lists this transfer RNA (76 nucleotides) under Labilithrix sp. RNAcentral's name for it is "tRNA-His". It matches the Rfam family "tRNA". Rfam says of the family: Transfer RNA (tRNA) molecules are approximately 80 nucleotides in length. Their secondary structure includes four short double-helical elements and three loops (D, anti-codon, and T loops). Lineage: Bacteria; Pseudomonadati; Myxococcota; Polyangiales; Labilitrichaceae. The record is from RNAcentral.